CCCCCCUCCCAAGAUAUAUUUAAGUUUAAUUCAAUUUAAACAUCACCACCUUGUUUCAUGAGAAUCGGUCCUUCAAAUUUAGCCCAAACCCCUUAAUAAUUUAGCCCAAACCAUAAAAAACCAAGCGGAUAUCUCAUCAUUGGUUCACCUCUUCCUUUAUAUAGGUUGUUAAGCAUAUUACUUUAUUUCCAAGGUAAGAACAUCUCAUUGUUGUGAUUUCUUUACAUGUUACUUGAAAAGAGCGGGGAGGAUGGCAGCAC
RNAcentral lists this long non-coding RNA (260 nucleotides) under Elaeis guineensis (African oil palm). RNAcentral's name for it is "long non-coding RNA (EGUI_LNC005925)". The record is from RNAcentral. Lineage: Eukaryota; Viridiplantae; Streptophyta; Magnoliopsida; Arecales; Arecaceae.